Non-coding RNA from Acomys russatus (golden spiny mouse), 372 nucleotides. NCBI's taxonomy places the organism in Eukaryota, Metazoa, Chordata, Mammalia, Rodentia, Muridae. The record is from the annotation of a RefSeq genome assembly.
AUGGGAUGGAGCUUGAUUCUUUUCCUGUUUGCAGCAUCUACUGGUGUCCACUCCCAGGUCCAGCUGCAGCAGUCUGGGGCUGAGCUGGUGAGGCCUGGGUCCUCAGUGAAGUUGUCUUGCAAGGCUUCUGCCUACACCUUCACCAGCUCUGUUAUGCAUUGGGUGAAGCAGAGCCCUGGACAGGGCCUGGAGUGGAUUGGAGAUAUUAUUCCUGUACUUGAUGGUACUAGCUACAAUCAGAAGUUCAGAGGCAAAGCCACACUGACUGCAGACACAUCUUCCAGCACAGCCUACAUGGAGCUCAGCAGCCUGACAUCUGAGGACUCUGCAGUCUAUUACUGUGCAAGACACAGUGUUGCAACCACAUCCUGA